Molecule: non-coding RNA, 245 nt
Filed under: Hungatella hathewayi
Lineage: Bacteria; Bacillati; Bacillota; Clostridia; Lachnospirales; Lachnospiraceae
Description: Clostridium hathewayi T-box sequence
Rfam family: T-box leader
About the family: Uncharged tRNA acts as the effector for transcription antitermination of genes in the T-box leader family. T-boxes are found upstream of many aminoacyl-tRNA synthetase genes and some amino acid biosynthetic genes usually in Gram-positive bacteria.
Source: RNAcentral
AGAAAAGCGAUGAAGGCGUUAGUAGACAUUUAUUUUCUACCAGAGAGAAGGAAUCACCGGCUGAGAGUUCCUUUUAGUUCAGAUAAAUGUUGAGAUUCCCGCCGGAGCUGCAGGCUGAACCGUGAGUUUCAUGUGAAGUAGGCUGCGCCGUUUGUACACGUUACGUAUGUCGAGAGUCUGUGAAUGGCAUAGAUGCACACAUCACAGGAAUCAGGGUGGUACCGCGAUAAAAUGUCGUCCCUUCG